RNAcentral lists this ribosomal RNA (272 nucleotides) under uncultured prokaryote. RNAcentral's name for it is "partial 16S ribosomal RNA". It matches the Rfam family "Bacterial small subunit ribosomal RNA", at positions 524 to 796 of the family's 1533-position model. The record is from RNAcentral.
UACGAAGGGGGCUAGCGUUGCUCGGAAUCACUGGGCGUAAAGGGCGCGUAGGCGGCGUUUUAAGUCGGGGGUGAAAGCCUGUGGCUCAACCACAGAAUGGCCUUCGAUACUGGGACGCUUGAGUAUGGUAGAGGUUGGUGGAACUGCGAGUGUAGAGGUGAAAUUCGUAGAUAUUCGCAAGAACACCGGUGGCGAAGGCGGCCAACUGGACCAUUACUGACGCUGAGGCGCGAAAGCGUGGGGAGCAAACAGGAUUAGAAACCCUGUAGUCC